CUCGGCUUCUAGGAGUCAGUGUUUCCUGUUUGUUACAUAAUAGCUAGAAAAGCAACAUGCAGAGUUUUAGACUUUACAUCAGAUGGCUUGCAUGGUGCAGUCUUAAAGAUCCUUGUGGGUGAGACGCUCUGAGAAUUAGCCACUCCGCCUUGUCAAGCUUGCUUGUUUUGAUUUUUACUUUUCGUGUGGUUUGCAGUUCUUGGUGGCUCAGAAAGGCGGUACAGCUGUUGUGAAGGUGUCCUUGGAUGCCCCGGGUGUCAGGUCACCAAGUGCUAUACAGCCAAAGGUUUGGAACUUACUCAAGUGACAGUGGUUGAUCCCAACCCCCAGGUGGUCUAUGAUACAUUUGUGAAACCAGAUGAAGAAGUCAUUGACUAUAACACUAGGAUAGGUUUUCUGGUGCGGUUGAAGAUGACUUGAAGGACACGAAAACCUCAAUCCGUGAUGUGCACACCACCUUGUUGAACCUGUUCAGUGCUGACACUGUACUAAUUGGACAUAGCUUUGAACAUAGUCUCUAUGCACUUAAGUUAAUUCAUACUUCAGUUGUGGACACGACAGUUAUGUUUCCUCAUCGGCUAGGCUUGCCUCACGGAAGAUCCCUUAAAAGUCUAGUGGCUGACUACCUAUGGAGAAUCAUUCAGGAUGAUGGCAGUGUCCUAUGGCUCUUCUAAACACACUGAAAUCUAAUCUAUAUACCCAGUACUGGAAUCGUCUAAUUCCUUUAAGGGGUUGGUUCUCUCCUUCUUAACUGCUUUUUGAUAAUGUGGAAACUGGCCCGUGGAAAUGACAUGACUUUAUUCAACUUGACUAUUGACCUUUGAAGAGAAUUUCAGAGGAAAGAUGUCCAAAGCAAGGUCCUCAGGACGAACCUGUUUUUGGCUCAAGUAGUCCAUUCCCCGGGCCACAUCUGCUGCAAAGUGGAGGAGCUGCUGGGAGGACAGCGUGGAGGCGGUGCUGUUAGCGAUGGCGAACGCGGGGUCCGUCUCCAGCACGCGGCUCUUGCGCAGGAAGUCAAGGAGGUUGCCGUGGGGGGCAUACUCGAUGGCCAGGUACAGGUAGCCUGUGCGGGAAGGGAGAGAGCACCACUUUAUCAGUAGCCCUAAGCUGCCGUGAUAUUUCUGAGAUGUGCUAUGAUUCUCGGGAACCGCUUAUAAACCUCUGUUUUAUCGUAAAGUUACACAUCUAGUGGUACCAACCUCGGUAAUGCUGGGGCCAGGAGGAAGACAGGUGACAUCAUUCCUGCAAUACUUAAAGUGCUUGCUCUCAGGGUUCCCCUCCCCACCCCUACCAAACAUAGAGGGCUUCCUGUCACCUACUCGGUGACACUAGUAGAAUGAAAUCAAAGCAUUUGCUUCCAGACGAUCUAAGACAGCUAAUCCACAUCACUUUUCAUUUUUUUAUUCAAUCAAUAUUGAAUAUCAAGAACCUAAUAUGAGCCAGGCAUGUUAUUCCAGUAGGAAUCUAGCUUUUCCUGAGGUUAUUUUUUUUUAAUCAAAAAACAACAAUUAAAUAUCUAUAGCAGAAGGACCCACACCAGGUAACUUUCUCUCUCUCCUGCCUUCUGCUUCUCCCUAAAAUCUGGAGUAAGUCAGUGUAUUGCUGAGUAGGUCACUAGUCAGCAGAGUCUAGGGUCAGGGAUUGCAUUUUUGCUUACAGAAACCAGAAAAGUCAACCUUUUAGGAAAAAAAAUAAAACAAAAUAGUUCCUAGAGGAAACUAUGGUGCAGUGUCUUAGUUUUAUUCCA
Balaenoptera ricei (Rice's whale) is the source of this 1747-nucleotide long non-coding RNA. RefSeq lists it as uncharacterized. NCBI's taxonomy places the organism in Eukaryota, Metazoa, Chordata, Mammalia, Artiodactyla, Balaenopteridae. The record is from RefSeq and is a predicted model, not a curated record. The transcript has 6 exons.